Oncorhynchus kisutch (coho salmon) is the source of this 1496-nucleotide long non-coding RNA. RefSeq lists it as uncharacterized. Lineage: Eukaryota; Metazoa; Chordata; Actinopteri; Salmoniformes; Salmonidae. The transcript has 3 exons. The record is from RefSeq and is a predicted model, not a curated record.
ACCCCUGUCACACCCUGGCUGACCAAAUAUAUAACGAAAACACAAAACACUAAGACCAAGGCGUGACAGAUGCACCAUUUUUUUUCCCAAUUAUUAUUGUUUUAUUUUUAUUUAACAUUUAUUUAACUAGGCAAAUCAGUUAAGAACAAAUUCUUAUUUACAAUGACGGCCUACCCUGGCCAAACCCAAAAUUAUGAUCAUCACACGUAUGCAGCGCACAUUUCAAGCGAAGUUUAUCAAUUAAUAGGGGAGAUCAUUCGAUGAGUCUUUCCAGGAAGCUAAUUCUGAAGACUGCUGCUGUAUCAGUGGAUGUGACCAUAAUCUUGCCAGGCAACCACCAUAGCAGGAAUGCUGUGAAGAAAGACCCAACAUACUCAUUACAGGCUACACAGACAGGCUCAUGGAUCUCCUCUACAACGAGGUCACGCUUGAUCCAGUGCUGUUUGUGGGGAAGCUGUGCAAGCUGUCCAUCCCAGGACGCCUGUCUGCCCAGUGUGAGAGAAAUGACGAGGAGGCCAUAGCUGGAUUUGUCUCCGGCUUCAAUCUUGGGGGAUGAUUGAAGUCUGCUUGAUUGAAGCGGGGUAAAUGGGUCCCCCUCCUCUCCUGUUCCCCUCUCCAUCAAUCUCUAUAGUUGGUUGCAUUUCCUAAAGCCUUAGUUAUUCACUUUUAUGUGAUGUGAUAUUACAUUUUGCUACUUUGUAUUGUUUUUUUUUUCAACCAUUCAGACGGGAGAUGAGUGUUACAAAUUGUACGACUCAAUGGGGUCCUGCACACUGUAGGGUGGCCGGCCGGGUGCCUAUAUUAGGCUUAUGGCGCUAAUAAAAAGCACCAUUAUAUCUCACCUUUAUUACUCAUGAUGAGUGUUCAUGUUGAUCAAUAUUUUGCCUAUGCUUGCCUAUUUUAAACAUAUUGUCAUUCAUAAUGCUAAUGCAGAGGCACUAAUUAAUUGUCCAGUACACUUAUUGUAUGCUGUUUUCAUGUACAUUCCCUUAUGUCUAAGCUUCUAAGGUUACUCAGGCUUUACUCAUUAUUCUUAAGAAGUGUAUCAUUGAACUGUAUCCUGUAAUUAGUAACAAAACAAUAGAAAUGCAAUUGUGAAUUUCUGCUGUUUGUCUGAUAUCCAACAGUCUAUGAUCAGCUCUGUUGACAAUGAGUGCAUUUUGCACAGAAAAUGGGGUGAGGUGUACUAUUUAGGCUUGGAAUGACAUGUGGCCCAUUGUUUACCUGGUCGUCAAAGACAUGUGAUUAUUAAACAGGUUUGGAUCCUGGAGGCUGAUUGGUUGAUAUGUGAGAGUUGUGGGACAACAACUUCUGCAAAAAACAUUAUGUGUUAAUCUCAUAAUCCACUGUCCUGCAGCCCAGGCAGGAAAUUCAUAAACAUAAUCUACACAUUUACACAGAAGUUUUCUACUAUUUGGUUUGCAACAGUUAGACAGAUAGGUUUAUACAACCCCCAACUCUACAACCUGUGCAUUCUACAAAUGCGAUCUCUCCCA